This 1235-nucleotide ribosomal RNA is filed under the name metagenome. RNAcentral describes it as "bacterial SSU rRNA". It matches the Rfam family "Bacterial small subunit ribosomal RNA", at positions 114 to 1353 of the family's 1533-position model. The record is from RNAcentral.
CACGUGUGCAACCAACCCCGUACCGGGAGAUAACCCGCGGAAACGUGGACUAACAUCCCAUGAUACUCGAGGGCCGCAUGGCUCUCGAUUUAAAAUUCCGGUGGUACGGGACUGGCACGCGCGACAUUAGGUAGUUGGCGGGGUAACGGCCCACCAAGCCGACGAUGUCUAGGGGUUCUGAGAGGAAGGUCCCCCACACUGGAACUGAGACACGGUCCAGACUCCUACGGGAGGCAGCAGUGAGGAAUAUUGGUCAAUGGGCGAGAGCCUGAACCAGCCAAGUCGCGUGAGGGAAGAAUGGUCUAUGGCCUGUAAACCUCUUUUGUCAGGGAAGAAUAAGGAUGACGAGUCAUUCGAUGCCAGUACUUGACGAAUAAGCAUCGGCUAACUCCGUGCCAGCAGCCGCGGUAAUACGGGGGAUGCGAGCGUUAUCCGGAUUUAUUGGGUUUAAAGGGCGCGUAGGCGGGACGUCAAGUCAGCGGUAAAAGACUGCAGCUAAACUGUAGCACGCCGUUGAAACUGGCGCCCUGGAGACGAGACGAGGGAGGCGGAACAAGUGAAGUAGCGGUGAAAUGCAUAGAUAUCACUUGGAACCCCGAUAGCGAAGGCAGCUUCCCAGGCUCGUUCUGACGCUGAUGCGCGAGAGCGUGGGUAGCGAACAGGAUUAGAUACCCUGGUAGUCCACGCCGUAAACGAUGCUCACUGGAUCUUGGCGAUACACUGCCAGGGUUCAAGCGAAAGUAUUAAGUGAGCCACCUGGGGAGUACGUCGGCAACGAUGAAACUCAAAGGAAUUGACGGGGGCCCGCACAAGCAGAGGAACAUGUGGUUUAAUUCGAUGAUACGCGAGGAACCUUACCCGGGUUUAAAUGUAGAUUGCAUGAGGUGGAAACGCUUCUUCCCUUCGGGGCUAUUUACAAGGUGCUGCAUGGUUGUCGUCAGCUCGUGCCGUGAGGUGUCGGGUUAAGUCCCAUAACGUGCGCAACCCCUAUCGCCAGUUGCCAUCGGUUCAAGCCGGGCACUCUGUCGAGACUGCCACCGUAAGGUGCGAGGAAGGCGGGGAUGACGUCAAAUCAGCACGGCCCUUACGCCCGGGGCGACACACGUGUUACAAUGGCCGGUACAGAGGGCAGCCACGGGGUGACCCGGAGCGAAUCUCUAAAGCCGGUCGUAGUUCGGACUGGAGUCUGCAACCCGACUCCACGAAGUUGGAUUCGCUAGUAAUCGCGCAUCAGC